Long non-coding RNA from Dermacentor silvarum, 9189 nucleotides. RefSeq lists it as uncharacterized. Lineage: Eukaryota; Metazoa; Arthropoda; Arachnida; Ixodida; Ixodidae. The record is from RefSeq and is a predicted model, not a curated record. The transcript is spliced from 3 exons.
GCGACGUGAAGCCUGCACCGGCCGACGUGGACGUGUGCGGCUGCGAGUGCAGCUGAGACCGCACAAAGCCGGUGCCCGUGCCCGAUGGGGAGGCCGCCGACGCCUUCCGUAGGAGCGCGGUCUGGAAAACACGGGCCCUGCCCUAGAACCAGGACAGCGCCACCACAACAGGGCGUCGCACCUGGCGCAAGUAGCUGUGUUUGCCAAGGCCACGAGUGUCGCUGCCACCCUUGUGCACACAGUAAAUCUUGAUUUUGGCCCUGCCGAGACUAAAAACAGCGACUGCCAGGGUCCUGUAUGCUUGAGCUUUUGUCUGCUGCCAUAACAACAGCCAACCCUCGGUAGGAUCUCAGUGUAGUGCAAUCAGCAAGUGCUAGGAGUGAAAUCUUGCAGAUAGUUUAUAGUUAUAACAAGCUUUUCUUUGAAAAAAUUAUACCAUAGUUUGAGACACCCGGUCACUUUGUUUUAGAUUUCUUCGUGCACUGUGAGUCAAUAUCACAUCUAACAAUGCAAUCUGUUGAUGCAUCAAAAAGAAAAUAUUUUGAGAGUAUGGCAUAAGGGCACCUAACUCCCAAUUGCAACAGCAGAGUGCCUGGUGAUGUCCACUUUUUUUUACACUAUUGCAUUUCAGUGAACAUGUCCUCAUUUUAUUGCACACUCUAGAGCAUUGUAAUGAUCCUUAAAAGGUUGAGGAUAAGAAAAAAACUGAUAGCUUUGCACAUCAGGUAACGAAAAAAAAAGAUUAAAAUCCUUCCCUUGAUGAACUGAUCAAGAAGUGCAAAUUGUAACAGCUGAAGAACAAGCAAGAAAAGGGGCCCCAACUGCAGUAAGUGGAUGACAUGGCAACAUGCGAUGAAGUAUCAAUCAUCUGAGCAACCCUACAGAUUGGUUUUGCAGUGAUACACUUAACGCUACAGAGAUAAGCCGACAUUCCUAAAAAAUCAGGCUCCUCUUCAUCCAUAUUAAACUGCUCACGAACAACAUUUGCAAUCAACAUCACAAAAAAUGCAAAGUGAUGCCAGAUUUAUGCCAUUUGCUCUUCUCUUGAGUGGAAGUUGAUUAAAAACACACACUAGAUGUCUGACCAUUUGAUAUUUACAGCAUGAAAGGUACAGUCUGCAAAUGAAUAAAGACCAACGCACAACACUUAUUAGGACUAGUUAUUCGGAGGUUUAUUCCUCCCAUGUUAUUUAUAGAAAUAUAGCCAUCACCUCCACUGAAACAGUUCCAUAUGCUUUCCACAUUACUUUUAUGGAACGAAUAUCGAUUCCAUAGCAAAUAUUCAUAAAAUCUAUAAGUAUCAUAUGGAAAACAUACAGAAUCAGUGGACCACUUGUGGAAUGUUUCAGUAGGGAUGCUUGCACAGGAUAUUUGGCCCCAGUUAUUACUCCAAUAGUUCGAACUCUGCAAGGCAUCACUUUGCAUUUCUUUAUUUUGUUGCAAGUGAUUCUUAGGACACAUAAAUGCUGAGAGGGAUUAGAUAAGAUUCAAGGUGAUGUAAAUGCCUGCUAGAACAAGUACACAUGCCUAGGGUUAAACAUGAAGUGAGAUACAUCAGCCAACUGACAGAAGAUGGGACAGACACUUUUUUUUGUCAUUAUGAAUAAAAGCCCAUUGUACACCCAACACCGCAAAAAUGUCAGUUGUGAGUAAUGGGGUUAAACGUCCCAAAGAAACUUGCAAGUUAUGAGCACCUGAAGGACUGUGGCGAUUGUUAAAAAAUCUGCAGGGAAGGACAAAAAGUCUGGUGUUAAAUUCUAGGCUCCCACUGCAUAUAUACAAAAGUAGUAAUUGGGUAAGGUGUUAAUGAUAGCGUUAACUAGUGACUGAGUAGAUUUGUAGAAAAUGCUCGAAGUGUUACAAGGCCUAAGUGGCAAGUAUUUAUAAUGUUGCAAAAAAAAUAAUGCCUCACAUAUAUCUAAAUGUAGUUCACUGAGUUCCCCGAAAUAGUUCCUAAAUGUGCCCAUGUAUACAAACAUCAUGGCAGUUCUGAAAUUCAGGUCUACACAUAUACAUGCAUAUAUGCAGUGGAGGGUUUAUGUGAGGGUUUAUAUCAAUGAAUAACGCAAGUUUCCGCACUUUAAUCACAAAUUCCUGUAAUGUAUCAUGCAUUCAACAGUCAUUUGAAAGCCUGUUACAAUUUUACCAGGCUGUUUAACAAGCAGAUGCUCAAACGUUGUUUCCAUCUUUUGUCAUUGGACAAUGUAGUAUCACUUUCAUGCCACUAUUUCAAAACACGGAGACAAAGCAGCUUGUUUAGAAACACUGCUACAAGACACAUCAACCUCAUUACGAUUAGGAGCUGUUUAUGCUAGAUUAUAUGUAACAAGCAGUGAACUUCCUAGCGUACUCAAUUACUUGCUCCAAUUAAAGUUAUGCUGAGCACGAUAAACUGCCACAAUCUUGUGCUGUUCAAAACAUGUGAAGAGGGCUUUUCUGUACUGUCAUAUACAUUAUAAACAACAAUAGAAGUAAUGUGUGUGAACUGCAUGUCACUGUAUCUGUGGGUCAAACAAAAUGAGCACAGCAAUGAGUAUACCCAUUAAAAGUAUGCGCUGUUUUGAAAUGCCAAUACGGACCAAUUUUUUUUUUUUUUUGCUUUUAGUUUCUAAAGCAAAUGUUAUAAAAAUUUGAAGUCUAUAAGUGCCACUAUGUACAUCUCUAAAACAUUCAGGACAGGAACAUGCAGAGAGAGUUCUUCUGGUCCAGGGAACAGAUAGAGUGUGAAGGAAGUAUCGCAAUUGCUUGCUAGCCUAAGCCUGCAUGAGCUGUCUCAGAUAAUGAAACAUCAGUCAUACAAUUAAAAAAUUAAAAGAAAAGCUAGCAAGCUUCAAGGCUUCUUGAAGCUUGCUGAAAUUUUGCAACCUUCAGUCUUUCCCAAUCAAUGAAAGUAGAUACACAGAAAAAUCUCACAAGGCCGUACAGUUGGCUGACGUUAAUUCAAUCCACCUCAUAUUUUUGUUUAAAUUAGUAUUCAGAGUUCAGAAAACAUGGUCCAAAAUAGAACUAGAAGUUACUACAUGGAAAGAGAUGGACAUGAAAUAAUUUAAUGCGACUAAUUGCAUAGCCCUGAAUGAAAUGAAAUCAAUUAGGAGGUUUGACAUCCCAAACCAACACACAGGUAAUGAGAAACACCGAAGUUGAGGGCCCUAGAGCGUUCAUUAACGCACACUAAAUACAUAAGCAUUAUUGUAUUCUGCCAUUAUAGGAAUGUGGAUGCCGCAACUGGGAACUGAACCCGUGACAUUAUGUUCAGCAUAAUAAUUCCACAGAACUGAAUGAAAUGCAAUGUAGACGAAACUAAUGGAUAUGUAAUAGAAGAGAAGAUAGAUUCAGUUCCUGUGAACACAUACCGAGGAUAUUGAAUAACCAACCGCCACAGCAACUUAGGCACUGAGGCAUGAAUAAAUUUUGCUACCUUUGCGUUACGAAUAUUCCCUUGUCAAUAAUAUUUGGCUAUGUUGCCUGGGCCUGGAAAGCCAAGAGGUUUGAACUGACUGUACUAACUGAAUGCUUUGCUGAAUUAAGUGGCUUCAGAAUGCACUGAAAACAUAGUGGUUUGAACAUUGGCCGAGUUGGUUCAUAACUAAGAAGGAUAAAACAGUCGCACUAUAUUUAAAUUGAUCAGAAUUUCUCUCACUCCGAGAUUGAACUAUCACAAGCCAGAGCCUCCUGAAAUGAUAUUGGCUGCUUGCUAGCAGUGUAGUCAGUAGGUUAUAAUUGUUUAAGUGCCUUUACAUGCUACAACAGGUGCCUGUAGAAAAGGGAAAGGUUUGUGACAGACUCAAAAGAACCGUGUAGUUGAAUCAAGUGCCUUGCACAAAAAAAACUCUCCCUGCAUGCGUGAAGGUGGGCACAUGUGCAUGACGGUCAGUAGCGUUAAUGAAAGCUGGUGAAACUAGCAUGCAAGCCAGCUAAAACGAUGAAGUUCUAAUUAUCUUUAGCAAGCUUUCAAACUUACAUAUUUUGGAAUAAUAAAACUUCUUUCUUGUGAAUAAGCUGUAACACUGUUAAAAAUAAUGACCAGAUUAAAAAGGCUGUGCACAAGCAAACAAUAAUGUUUCCAAACUACUGUGAACGCUGAGGUCGUACUUGAUUUUGCCUUGUAGAGGGAUAAAAAUACAAAUUUUAACUGUCUCCUUCAUAUUCUACACGAGGAAAGCAUUAAAUGAAAAAAAGAGUGCAUCAACAGGUCAUUAAAAAAAGGAGAAAUUAUAUAAAAUGUGAAAUGCUAUGAAGCUUACACCAAACAAGUUCAGUCUGCCUGCAAAUUCCGAGAUAAUUUUAUUUUUGUUAGCGACACCAUCAGUGUCUAUGCCUUUGAGCAUCUAGCCACUGGCUCACUACUAAGCUUGACAUUCUAUCAAUUCUAGUAAAAAUUAUAAAUUUGAAUAAAUACAAAAUAAAUAAAUACUAAAUAAAUACUAAAUAAAUACUCCAAUAAAUUGGAAAUGAUCAAAUUUCAGAGUAUGUCAAAUUAGCUGAAGUAAGGCACUGAUAAAAUGAAACGGUAUAAAUUGCAACCGUGCAAACACAAAUAUAACAAGCAGUUAUUACAGACGUGUACACACAGCAUUAUUACAAACACAUUAGUACUUGGCAAUGGCGUUAUGAGAACAAUACUUGCAAAAAGAAUUUUUUUAAUGGGGCCAAGGAACAGAUUUUCACAUCUGCUGCUCCAUGAACAAAGACAGGAGCAGUAAAAAAUACAAAAUACUUCACUGCCUGAAUUCUGCCCUAGCUGAGAGCCAAUAUAUUCUGCAAACAUUGUAACGAACUCAUUUCUUUUACAAAACUGACACUCCCCAUAACAUCUAUAUCCAAUGAACAACUUUCAUCACUGCUGCUACAUUCACAAAGGCCAAAGCAGAGCUUAUUCAUAAUUGAACCUCGGUGGAUAUAAAGAAUUAUUGGAUGUAACAAAUUAUUGGCUUUAAAAAAGUAUAGGAUUUUCCAAGCUGAUAUCAACACAUAAUGAAUAUAUGCUUACAACGAGUAUGGGAUAUAACGAAGCUAUUUUAGUGCAGGAUGCAACUUUGUUAAAACAAGGUUUAACAUACACGUUUUUACAGGCGAUCGCAUUGAACAUAUGGUGUUACUGGACAUUCAGGUUGUAAGGCAAUCUUUUUUUUAUAUGUAAGUAUUUUGACAGUUAUGCUUUUUGCCUACCUAUUAAAAGCAAGGUUUGAUUCUUAACUAAUAGGAAUGCUUCUAAAUAGACAAAGAAGCUUGCAGCUUCGACAAAAAAUAAAUAUGCUUCAGCUUUCUGAAAAAGUGCUGCAGGUUAAAAAAUACUGUCGCAUAUUUCUUAGACAUGCUUCCACAAAGUCAUAACUAUUUAAAUUUUUUGUUAACUGCCUUGACAACAUUGCUGGAGCAGUAAAAAAUAUAAAAGUGGAAGUGAAGAGUACAAUAAUGUGUACAAAGAGACAGAAGCAACUGAAUUAUUAGCAACUGAAAUGCGAGCAUAUGUAGCCCAGCUCCAUCACAGCCACAUGUAAAACAAAAACAAAAAAUGUGUGCAUUUACUUGAAAUGCCUCACGAAGGUCACUGGUAAACAGGUGUGUUCAAUGCGAGACUUAUGAGGCAGUUCACAGUGCUGACUUAAUCCAGCACACAAUGCUACAUCGUAACCACUGCUCGCAGUGCCAAAAACCAAACUAACUAUAAUGUCAUAUAAUGGCAGAAAUCUGUCCACUUCUGCUACACUCUGUCUUACUGGUUAUGUGUGACACAUGUCAGAUGACAUCACACAAUCACAGUCCUAUGAGAACACAAGCCUGAUGCCCUGCUUAAAAAAAAAAAUGAUACACUAAAAAAAAAGUUAUGUGAUAAAGAGUGUAUAUAGUAUUCUGCUAAAUUCCGCUGUAUAGUUUUACAAGACAUUACAACUUAAAGACAGUGUGUAAUGCUAUGAGCAUAGCUUCUUUGCUAGGCAAUGUUCACGGUGAUCACAGUACUAAACCUGAUAAUAUGCAAUACACAUGCAUUACAAUCUCACAGGUAAAGCAUUUUGCCAGUUAAGAACAAGAGUGAAGUCAAACCUGACAAAUAAAUAGCUGAUCCAAAGUUAUCUUCAAAUGAGCAAACUGAAGGGUACUGCAUCAGUCAAAAAGCAGUUUGUGUUUAAAAACAGCUUUGAGGGUAUGCCAAGUUUCUGAAGCUACGGGGCUGGGUAGCAGUUAAACGGAAAAUCUACAAUGGGAGGACACCAUGCGAGGUCAGUGAGGUAUGACCCACCAAAAUGAACAACGGUGGACGCAGUGACUAAGGGAAGUUGCUUUAAGCAUUAUGUGCUUUAGACCAGCCCUGACAGAUUACAUUUUAACUCAUGCCCAACAUCUGUUGUUAGCAGGAGAAUAGCGUUUUAGUGUGUCCGAUGUUCCGGCAAACUCGGGUGGAUUGCUGGAUUGGACCCGUAAGCAGCCAGAGUGGUGCCCAGCCACCUGGUGGCACAAAGCUCAACCAAACAAAUGCAGAUCUAAGCAUAUUCUUCCUAGCUGCUGGUGUAAAAUUUUCAACAGCAGCAUAAUCGUGUUCACGAUUAUGCCAGCAGCGUAAUUAGUACCAGCUGCGAAGCAGAAUACUAUACUUGAUGGUUACUACAAUAUUAGCUCUGCGUUUCUUCUGGUUGAGCUUUGCAUCACCAGGUGGUGCCGUCAAUCUGGCUACUCAUGUUUACGCCCCCACUUAUCCGGCAAACCGCCGUUUGCACGAAUACCGGACACACUAAAACUCUCAAAUGACACCUGCUGUUUUCAGUUCAUUGAAAAUCAGUCUAAAUAUGCUGCUGACUGUUUUAACAAAAUAUGUGAAGGCUUCCGAAGUAAGAGAACAGCCGGGUCAUGGACCAGCAAUUUUAGUAAUGUCUAUCCUUCAAGUUAUGGUGCUGCAAACUUGUAGAUAUGAGUAGUUUUAUGUGCUUAUUUCAAAUGUGUGAGUCUAAUUUUGUUUAUCUCACUUGGUUCUAAUUUUAUGCAAGUUUCUCUUAAUUUUUUUGGAAAAGCUUGCAAAGAAUCAGUUGCUCAGAUUUCAGUAAAUAGGAUAGCAAUGGCUUUUGCGCGAUUCAAGGAAUCCAAUAAGACCAACUUUAUUGCUCUGGCUGCCUUAGAACAAGAGUUGUGGUUGACACUCGGAAGGCCGUUUUUCUGAAAGUCAACUUCAAAGUCUGCUUCAGUUCAUACGAGAGAGACUGACACAGCCAUGAAUAGUCGUAUUGAAUACAAGACUACGAUUAUAGUCCACUUCUUGUGCAAACAUUUUUGCACACAAAUUUAAGCCACGACUUUGACCUCGUUCUCAACUGUCAAAAUGCCUAGAAGCCUUGCAGCAAGAGACCAAAUAUACCGUGAAUACAGGAAGAUUGUUAGUGACAAAAACAGAGGCAUCAUUGAGAAUAGCAACACAUGUGCAGAAACGUGUGGUGAAACUGCUACAGAGCAUAAGGGUCUGCCCACCACAAACCGUUUCUAUGGUUGGCUGGGAGAGAGAGAGAGAAUGUGUGGAAGUAGAGAAACACAUAAAGAUGGAAAUACCCACACGCACACACAGGCAAAACACAAGGGAGGCAUCAGAGCACGGUAGUAAAAAAAUUAAAGAGAGAGAAGCCUCUGUACACCGAACUAUAAGCUGAAGCUAUGACCAUGUUAGUGUGCUUUCAAAAUGCAAUAAGGAAGGCAGUGAUCCCGGGCAUAUACAUCCUGCCCGACUUCAACCACAGUACCCUUGACAAAUAGCUGCUUGGUCUCACGACCACAGCAGUGACGCACAGAGCCAGCGGUAGGGAUGACAUGGUUUCAUUUCAUUCGGGGGAACUGUUCACCACCGAGCUAAGGAAGGAGAAAGGCCAAGCACAGAUGAUCGUAACUGUUAUCACCAACAGCUGCACGUGUGGGCACAUAAAAAUAAAGUGGCCUGCGUUUAAGUGCAAUCGCACCACGCAGUCUUCCCAUACUGCCCCUGACCCCCAUUGCUUCCCAGCACAACACCCCACGCUCUCAAGCCAGUCUCGUUAACCCCAGAGCCUCGCAACAAUUUUGCAGAGGCUUGGUGGUAGUGCAGCGACAUGGGACAGGACGGUGGUGCGUCCGACUGAAUUGUCAACGCACUAGGAAAACAAAAACCACACAGCAAUGCAAGGUGGCUUUAGGCCCAAACAAAAGGAGGAGAGUGCAUACACACCAGGGCCAAACAGCACACCUAAAAAAAGAAUACAGCAUGAACCUCUAAGGACGCAUUCCUGAACGCACACACACACAUGCACACACACAUAUGCUAGCACACGCACACACACCCACAGAUAGGGACAAGAUGCAAAAUGGCCAACUGCAUCAGCCUUCACACGUGUGCACACACCUGAAAACAAACUGGAAACAACUACACACUACAGCAGAGUUUUGCAGAGAAACCAAUAGGUGGCGACAAGCAAGCACUGGCCUUUAUAAACGAUGGCAGACACUAGGCGAGCGCUAGCAUAAACUGUGCAGAUGAGAGCGCUUCCUCAGUGUGUUCCAAGAAUCGUACCAUCGAUUACAAUCCCGUACAUGUCACCUACUGCACAUGGGGCGGGAAUGCUACGUAACUAUCCCCACAAUGCAUAGUUCAGACAUGCUGACACAACUGCACAGCAAACAACCAUGCAGGGUCCCCAAAAUUCGUAAGCACAGAGGAGACCAUCAAAAGUGCUUCUAAUGGCACAAUGCCUCCAUUAACACACUGUGUCAGUUCAUGGGUUAGUGUUAAGUUGUUUGAGACAUUUAGCCUUUUCUUUUCUUAGUUAUCGUUUUUUUUUUUAAUGCAAAUUCAUAUGCACUAGUUCAUUGCUGGCACAUUUCUUGUGCAUAUUCCUUUCAACAGGGCAUAGCCUUGUUAAUGUAAAAUCCAAUACUAGUAUAUUGAAUGGACAGCAGUAGAAGAAAAGGAAGCCUAACGCUGAGGCGAGUCAUCAACAUAACACCUCAUUUCCUCAAAUGAAGGUUUAAGCAAUUACAUUACAAGCAACUGUUCAAUAGCAUGCGCCAGCUAAAACACGAUUUAAGAAUUGAUUCAGAUACUUUAAAACGAGCAAGGACAGCAAGAAGCUGCAGAAAAGUGCAGAUCUAUUUCAGCACCAGCUGGCCGUGACUGACACACUAAGCUGGCAGAUUCUAUCUAUGAUGAAUAAAAAAUUUAAUAAGCUACAAAGAAAA